This 115-nucleotide small nuclear RNA is filed under the name Nomascus leucogenys (northern white-cheeked gibbon). Its description in RNAcentral is "U2 spliceosomal RNA". It matches the Rfam family "U2 spliceosomal RNA". Rfam says of the family: U2 is a small nuclear RNA (snRNA) component of the spliceosome (involved in pre-mRNA splicing). The record is from Rfam by way of RNAcentral. Lineage: Eukaryota; Metazoa; Chordata; Mammalia; Primates; Hylobatidae.
AUCGCUUCUUAGCCUUUUGGGCUAAGAUUGAGUGUAAUAUCUGUUCUUAUCAGUUUAAAAAAUUAACAGAAAAGUAUAAGAAUUAUACUUUUAUAAUAAAAGCAUAAGAACAUUU